AGUGAACGCUGGCGGUAGGCCUAACACAUGCAAGUCGAACGGCAGCACAGUAAGAGCUUGCUCUUACGGGUGGCGAGUGGCGGACGGGUGAGGAAUACAUCGGAAUCUACUUUUUCGUGGGGGAUAACGUAGGGAAACUUACGCUAAUACCGCAUACGACCUACGGGUGAAAGCAGGGGAUCUUCGGACCUUGCGCGAUUGAAUGAGCCGAUGUCGGAUUAGCUAGUUGGCGGGGUAAAGGCCCACCAAGGCGACGAUCCGUAGCUGGUCUGAGAGGAUGAUCGGCCACACUGGAACUGAGACACGGUCCAGACUCCUACGGGAGGCAGCAGUGGGGAAUAUUGGACAAUGGGCGCAAGCCUGAUCCAGCCAUACCGCGUGGGUGAAGAAGGCCCUCGGGUUGUAAAGCCCUUUUGUUGGGAAAGAAAAGCAGCAGGUUAAUACCCCGCUGUUCUGACGGUACCCAAAGAAUAAGCACCGGCUAACUUCGUG
This 492-nucleotide ribosomal RNA is filed under the name uncultured bacterium. RNAcentral describes it as "partial 16S ribosomal RNA". It matches the Rfam family "Bacterial small subunit ribosomal RNA", at positions 29 to 507 of the family's 1533-position model. The record is from RNAcentral.